ACUAGGAUGGUCUAGUGGUUAUGAUAUCCGCUACGGAUGCGGGAGGUCACGGGUUCGAACCAAGGUCACAGCA
This is a non-coding RNA of Potamilus streckersoni, 73 nucleotides long. The record is from the annotation of a GenBank genome assembly. Lineage: Eukaryota; Metazoa; Mollusca; Bivalvia; Unionida; Unionidae.